AAUGGGCGAAAGCCUGACGCAGCAACGCCGCGUGAGUGAUGAAGGCUUUCGGGUCGUAAAGCUCUGUCAAGGGGGAAAGAAGUGUAUUGUGGCUAAUAUCCACGAUACUUGACGGUACCCCUGAAGGAAGCACCGGCUAACUCCGUGCCAGCAGCCGCGGUAAUACGGGGGGUGCAAGCGUUGUUCGGAAUUAUUGGGCGUAAAGCGCGUGUAGGCGGUUUGUUAAGUCUGAUGUGAAAGCCCUGGGCUCAACCCAGGAAGUGCAUUGGAUACUGGCAGACUUGAAUACGGGAGAGGGUAGUGGAAUUCCUGGUGUAGGAGUGAAAUCCGUAGAUAUCAGGAGGAACACCGGUGGCGAAGGCGGCUACCUGGACCGAUAUUGACGCUGAGACGCGAAAGCGUGGGUAGCAAACAGGAUUAGAUACCCUGGUAGUCCACGCCGUAAACGAUGAGUACUAGGUGUUGCGGGUAUUGACCCCUGCAGUGCCGCAGCUAACGCAUUAAGUACUCCGCCUGGGAAGUACGGUCGCAAGAC
RNAcentral lists this ribosomal RNA (535 nucleotides) under uncultured bacterium. RNAcentral describes it as "bacterial SSU rRNA". It matches the Rfam family "Bacterial small subunit ribosomal RNA", at positions 370 to 894 of the family's 1533-position model. The record is from RNAcentral.